This 592-nucleotide ribosomal RNA is filed under the name uncultured Rothia sp. Its description in RNAcentral is "bacterial SSU rRNA". It matches the Rfam family "Bacterial small subunit ribosomal RNA", at positions 355 to 957 of the family's 1533-position model. Lineage: Bacteria; Bacillati; Actinomycetota; Actinomycetes; Micrococcales; Micrococcaceae. The record is from RNAcentral.
UGGGGAAUAUUGCACAAUGGGCGCAAGCCUGAUGCAGCGACGCCGCGUGAGGGAUGACGGCCUUCGGGUUGUAAACCUCUUUCAGCAGGGGAGAAGCGAAAGUGACGGUACCUGCAGAAGAAGCGCCGGCUAACUACGUGCCAGCAGCCGCGGUAAUACGUAGGGCGCGAGCGUUGUCCGGAAUUAUUGGGCGUAAAGAGCUUGUAGGCGGUUUGUCGCGUCUGCUGUGAAAGCCCGGGGCUUAACCCCGGGUUUGCAGUGGGUACGGGCAGACUAGAGUGCAGUAGGGGAGACUGGAAUUCCUGGUGUAGCGGUGAAAUGCGCAGAUAUCAGGAGGAACACCAAUGGCGAAGGCAGGUCUCUGGGCUGUAACUGACGCUGAGAAGCGAAAGCAUGGGGAGCAAACAGGAUUAGAUACCCUGGUAGUCCAUGCCGUAAACGUUGGGCACUAGGUGUGGGGAACAUUCCACGUUUUCCGCGCCGUAGCUAACGCAUUAAGUGCCCCGCCUGGGGAGUACGGCCGCAAGGCUAAAACUCAAAGAAAUUGACGGGGGCCCGCACAAGCGGCGGAGCAUGCGGAUUAAUUCGAUGC